CCUACGGGAGGCAGCAGUAGGGAAUCUUCCGCAAUGGACGCAAGUCUGACGGAGCAACGCCGCGUGAGUGAAGAAGGUUUUCGGAUCGUAAAGCUCUGUUGUUAAGGAAGCGGUACUUAACCAGAAAGCCACGGCUAACUACGUGCCAGCAGCCGCGGUAAUACGUAGGUGGCAAGCGUUAUCCGGAAUUAUUGGGCGUAAAGCGCGCGUAGGCGGCAAGAAAAGUCUGAUGUGAAAGCCCCCGGCUCAACCGGGGAGGGUCAUUGGAAACUGUUUUGCUUGAGUACAGAAGAGGAGAGUGGAAUUCCAUGUGUAGCGGUGAAAUGCGCAGAGAUAUGGAGGAACACCAGUGGCGAAGGCGGCUCUCUGGUCUGUACUGACGCUGAUGUGCGAAAGCGUGGGGAUCAAACAGGAUUAGAUACCCUUGUAGUC
RNAcentral lists this ribosomal RNA (432 nucleotides) under uncultured bacterium. Its description in RNAcentral is "partial 16S ribosomal RNA". It matches the Rfam family "Bacterial small subunit ribosomal RNA", at positions 338 to 795 of the family's 1533-position model. The record is from RNAcentral.